CCUACGGGUGGCUGCAGUGGGGAAUAUUGGACAAUGGGCGAAAGCCUGAUCCAGCCAUGCCGCGUGUGUGAAGAAGGCCUUCGGGUUGUAAAGCACUUUCAGUGGGGAAGAAAGCCUUGGGGCUAAUACCCUCGAGGAAGGACAUCACCCACAGAAGAAGCACCGGCUAACUCCGUGCCAGCAGCCGCGGUAAUACGGAGGGUGCGAGCGUUAAUCGGAAUUACUGGGCGUAAAGCGCGCGUAGGCGGUCUGAUAAGCCGGUUGUGAAAGCCCCGGGCUCAACCUGGGAACGGCAUCCGGAACUGUCCGGCUAGAGUGCAGGAGAGGAAGGUAGAAUUCCCGGUGUAGCGGUGAAAUGCGUAGAGAUCGGGAGGAAUACCAGUGGCGAAGGCGGCCUUCUGGACUGACACUGACGCUGAGGUGCGAAAGCGUGGGUAGCAAACAGGAUUAGAUACCCCGGUAGUC
This 465-nucleotide ribosomal RNA is filed under the name Vreelandella stevensii. RNAcentral describes it as "partial 16S ribosomal RNA". It matches the Rfam family "Bacterial small subunit ribosomal RNA", at positions 338 to 795 of the family's 1533-position model. Lineage: Bacteria; Pseudomonadati; Pseudomonadota; Gammaproteobacteria; Oceanospirillales; Halomonadaceae. The record is from RNAcentral.